Molecule: ribosomal RNA, 496 nt
Filed under: uncultured bacterium
Lineage: Bacteria
Description: partial 16S ribosomal RNA
Rfam family: Bacterial small subunit ribosomal RNA
Source: RNAcentral
GAUGAACGCUGGCGGCGUGCCUAAUACAUGCAAGUCGAGCGAACAGACGAGGAGCUUGCUCCUCUGACGUUAGCGGCGGACGGGUGAGUAACACGUGGAUAACCUACCUAUAAGACUGGGAUAACUUCGGGAAACCGGAGCUAAUACCGGAUAAUAUAUUGAACCGCAUGGUUCAAUAGUGAAAGACGGUUUUGCUGUCACUUAUAGAUGGAUCCGCGCCGCAUUAGCUAGUAGGUAAGGUAACGGCUUACCAAGGCAACGAUGCGUAGCCGACCUGAGAGGGUGAUCGGCCACACUGGAACUGAGACACGGUCCAGACUCCUACGGGGGGCAGCAGUAGGGAAUUUUCCGCAAUGGGCGAAAGCCUGACGGAGCAACGCCGGGUGAGUGAUGAAGGUCUUCGGAUCGUAAAACUCUUUUAUUAGGGAAGAAAAAAUGUGUAAGUAACUAUGCACGUUUUGACGGUACCAAAUCAAAAAGCCACGGCUAACUACGU